GGCUCUCUACCCUGCAGGUGCGGUUGCAACGCCCACGCGGAAUAGCAUCUAAACGGGAAGGCUUCAGCGAGCGUGGUGAGCCAGCCUGCCGUUGAGCAGGACGCCUAAAGCGCUCAUAAGCCCGCCCACCUGUCUGGCCGUCGACGUGAGGCCACGAACCCACGGCAGGCGUGGAGAGUUA
Molecule: non-coding RNA, 181 nt
Filed under: Deltaproteobacteria bacterium
Lineage: Bacteria; Pseudomonadati; Myxococcota; Myxococcia
Description: 6S RNA
Rfam family: 6S / SsrS RNA
About the family: E. coli 6S RNA was the first non coding RNA to be sequenced, but its function was unknown until recently. It consists of 184 nucleotides that fold into an extended hairpin structure with a large single-stranded internal bulge. The 6S RNA specifically associates with RNA polymerase holoenzyme containing the sigma70 specificity factor.
Source: RNAcentral